This is a non-coding RNA of Paramuricea clavata, 73 nucleotides long. The record is from the annotation of a GenBank genome assembly. Lineage: Eukaryota; Metazoa; Cnidaria; Anthozoa; Malacalcyonacea; Plexauridae.
GACCGCGUAGCUCAGUUGGCAGAGCAUUGGGCUGGUAUUCCAAAGGUCGUAGGUUCGAUUCCCACCGUGGACA